CAAAAUGGAGCUUGUUUAAGCAAUUCACUUACACUGAAUAGAAGCUGUGAAAGUCGGUUAUUUUGA
This 66-nucleotide transfer RNA is filed under the name Deleatidium vernale. Its description in RNAcentral is "tRNA-Val". Lineage: Eukaryota; Metazoa; Arthropoda; Insecta; Ephemeroptera; Leptophlebiidae. The record is from RNAcentral.